GAUGGCACCCCUGCACUCCAGCCUGGGUGACGCAGCGAGACCUGUAGAUAUAUAUAUAUAUUUUUAGGACCCAUUUUUCCUGUGUGUAGGAGAGCGACUGACUUGUCAAUUUUAAAAACAGUCAACUAAAACAAAACAAAACAAAAAAUGCACUUUAGUAUUGUGACCAGAUAUGGGGAAGAAGAUUAGUUCAAAAGAUAAGGAACUAUGACCCUGGAAGAGGAGUACAAGAACUAUGCAGACAAUGCCACUUGGAAGGAGGAUUGGAGAACACAUUUUGCAAAAUGCUGACAUAAAUCAUUCACCUGGGCACAGGACUGCUCAGAAGGCACUCUCGGCUCUCAAAAGGCAUUUCAGAUCUACUUUUUUGAAAUCAUCUGACUGGAUUUCGUUCAAGCCUUUGUUGCUGAAUCAGUUAUCAGUGUCUCCAGCCUUUCCAGUUGUAAUCUCCACAGGAGGUUAAAGCACAGCUAACAAAUGGUGCAGUCAAAGGGAGGCUCUGUCCCCAUGACCAGGCCAUGUCUCAGAGCAGCCACAAAUGACAGCAGGUCUCCAGAUCAGCAAUAUGCAGAAAGAGAAGCUGAUAGGGGUUGUGGAGAAAGGCUUCCAUCCCUCAGGGCAAAGGAAGCCAGAAGGUUGACAAAAGGACACUGUCUCGGUUGGCCUGAAGCAGAGGUGAAUUGAAUUGAGGAGGACACCUUGACAAGGAGAAAAAAAAAUCAAGUCACAGAUGGGGCGAUCUGGGAGGGCUGACAAAGACAGCCCCACAGUGUGAAGUCACACACAUUUCCUCAGGAAACCAUCUGUUUGAACAAGUACUGUCCGUCCAGUCUAGAUUGAUUUGUAGGAGAGAACUGCAGUCUGUUCCAUGCCUAGCCUGAGCCACGGCCUGUACUAC
Molecule: long non-coding RNA, 898 nt
Organism: Cercocebus atys (sooty mangabey)
Lineage: Eukaryota; Metazoa; Chordata; Mammalia; Primates; Cercopithecidae
Exons: 4
Source: RefSeq, a predicted model, not a curated record